GGCACCAUGGCCAAGUGGCUAAGGCGUGGGUCUGCAACACCCUGAUCGUCGGUUCGAAUCCGAUUGGUGCCUCCA
RNAcentral lists this transfer RNA (75 nucleotides) under Mesoplasma syrphidae. RNAcentral describes it as "tRNA-Cys". It matches the Rfam family "tRNA". Rfam says of the family: Transfer RNA (tRNA) molecules are approximately 80 nucleotides in length. The record is from RNAcentral. Lineage: Bacteria; Bacillati; Mycoplasmatota; Mollicutes; Entomoplasmatales; Entomoplasmataceae.